AGACGGAGGGGGCUAGCGUUGUUCGGAAUUACUGGGCGUAAAGCGCGCGUAGGCGGUCCGUUUAGUUAGGCGUGAAAGGCCUGGGCUCAACCCGGGAACUGCGCUUAAAACUGGCGGGCUAGAGUCCGGGAGAGGGUGGCGGAAUUCCCAGUGUAGAGGUGAAAUUCGUAGAUAUUGGGAAGAACACCAGUGGCGAAGGCGGCUACCUGGACCGAGACUGACGCUGAGGCGCGAAAGCGUGGGGAGCAAACAGGAUUAGAAACCCCGGUAGUCC
This 274-nucleotide ribosomal RNA is filed under the name uncultured bacterium. RNAcentral's name for it is "partial 16S ribosomal RNA". It matches the Rfam family "Bacterial small subunit ribosomal RNA", at positions 523 to 796 of the family's 1533-position model. The record is from RNAcentral.